CUUGCAGUUGAUGCCCUUGCGGGCAUCCUAGAUAAGACCAAGCUGGCCGGCCACCUUAAGGGUGUGAUUAGUCAUCUCUCCGGAUGGGGGGUUACCCACCUGCAGUAUGCGAAUGACACCAUGAUUAUGGUGGAAGGCUCGGAUUCAGACAUUGUUAAUCUUAAGUUCCUUUUGCUCUACUUUGAGGAAAUGUCUGGACUUAAGAUUAAUUUUGAUAAGAGCGAGGUUGUGGUCCUUGGCUACUCGGAGGCUGAGCAGCACAAGAUCACGAAUAACCUCAAUUGUAGGUUGCCUUCAUUCCCCAUAUCUUACUUGGGGAUGCCCCUGGCUGAGUCCAGGAUUUUAGUGAGUGGGUAUGAUCCACUUGUGGGACGAGUAGCGUCCCGUGCGGAGCCUUGGUGCAGUAGGUUCACAUCUAAAGGAAGCAAAACUAUCCGCAUUAGCUCUAACCUUGCCAGCCUCCCCAUGUAUAUGCUGGGGAUGUACAUCUUGCCCGAAGGUGUGCAUAGUUCCUUUGACAAGGACCGGGCUAGGUUCUUCUGGCAGGCAGGAGAUGGUCAGCCUAAGUACCAUAUGGUGAAAUGGGCUGACAUCUGCUUGCCGAAGGACCGAGGUGGGUUUGGCAUCCCUGCGUCUUGCUGUAUGAAUGUUGCACUCAUGCUUCAUUGGGUUUGGUGGAUCUUGCGGGAGAUGGAGGUUUGUGGCUGCAGCUGA
This 714-nucleotide ribosomal RNA is filed under the name Triticum aestivum (bread wheat). Its description in RNAcentral is "partial small subunit ribosomal RNA". The record is from RNAcentral. Lineage: Eukaryota; Viridiplantae; Streptophyta; Magnoliopsida; Poales; Poaceae.